RNAcentral lists this ribosomal RNA (567 nucleotides) under uncultured archaeon. RNAcentral describes it as "bacterial SSU rRNA". It matches the Rfam family "Archaeal small subunit ribosomal RNA", at positions 312 to 879 of the family's 1478-position model. The record is from RNAcentral.
CGCGAUUCGCCCUUCGGGGUGCAGCAGGCGCGAAAACUUUACAAUGCGGGAAACCGUGAUAAGGGGACACCGAGUGCCAGCAUCCUAUGCUGGCUGUCCGGGUGUGUAAAAUACACCUGUUAGCAAGGGCCGGGCAAGACCGGUGCCAGCCGCCGCGGUAACACCGGCGGCCCGAGUGGUGAUCGUGAUUAUUGGGUCUAAAGGGUCCGUAGCCGGUUUGGUCAGUCCUCCGGGAAAUCUGACAGCUUAACUGUUAGGCUUUCGGAGGAUACUGCCAGACUUGGAACCGGGAGAGGUAAGAGGUACUACAGGGGUAGGAGUGAAAUCUUGUAAUCCCUGUGGGACCACCUGUGGCGAAGGCGUCUUACCAGAACGGGUUCGACGGUGAGGGACGAAAGCUGGGGGCACGAACCGGAUUAGAUACCCGGGUAGUCCCAGCCGUAAACGAUGCUCGCUAGGUGUCAGGCAUGGCGCGACCGUGUCUGGUGCCGCAGGGAAGCCGUGAAGCGAGCCACCUGGGAAGUACGGCCGCAAGGCUGAAACUUAAAGGAAUUGGCGGGGGAGCAC